This 90-nucleotide transfer RNA is filed under the name Campylobacteraceae bacterium. RNAcentral's name for it is "tRNA-Ser". It matches the Rfam family "tRNA". From Rfam's summary of the family: Transfer RNA (tRNA) molecules are approximately 80 nucleotides in length. The record is from RNAcentral. Lineage: Bacteria; Pseudomonadati; Campylobacterota; Epsilonproteobacteria; Campylobacterales; Campylobacteraceae.
AGAGAGGUGUCCGAGCGGUUUAAGGAGCACGCCUGGAACGCGUGUGUGGGGUAACACUCACCGAGGGUUCGAAUCCCUUCCUCUCUGCCA